RNAcentral lists this ribosomal RNA (274 nucleotides) under uncultured bacterium. RNAcentral's name for it is "partial 16S ribosomal RNA". It matches the Rfam family "Bacterial small subunit ribosomal RNA", at positions 523 to 796 of the family's 1533-position model. The record is from RNAcentral.
AUACGGAGGGUGCAAGCGUUACUCGGAAUCACUGGGCGUAAAGCGCGCGCAGGCGGGCUGAUAAGUUGGAUGUGAAAGCCUACGGCUCAACCGUAGAACUGCAUCCAAAACUGUCAAGCUAGAGUCUGGGAGGGGAAGAUGGAAUUAGUUGUGUAGGGGUAAAAUCCGUAGAGAUAACUAGGAAUACCAAAAGCGAAGGCGAUCUUCUGGAACAGUACUGACGCUGAGGCGCGAAGGCGUGGGGAGCAAACAGGAUUAGAUACCCGAGUAGUCC